This 253-nucleotide ribosomal RNA is filed under the name uncultured bacterium. RNAcentral's name for it is "partial 16S ribosomal RNA". It matches the Rfam family "Bacterial small subunit ribosomal RNA", at positions 524 to 776 of the family's 1533-position model. The record is from RNAcentral.
UACAUAGGUGGCGAACGUUAUCCGGAUUUAUUGGGCGUAAAGCGUCCGCAGGUGGCUAUGUAAGUCUGCUGUUAAAGAGUGAGGCUCAACCUCAUAAGAGCAGUGGAAACUACAUGGCUAGAGUGCGUUCGGGGCAGAGGGAAUUCCUGGUGUAGCGGUGAAAUGCGUAGAGAUCAGGAAGAACACCGGUGGCGAAAGCGCUCUGCUAGGCCGCAACUGACACUCAUGGACGAAAGCUAGGGGAGCGAAUGGG